AUGAACAAAAAGAAGGGCCAAGAACAAGUCAAGAAUUCGGCCAAGAUUGUUUGCUUCAAGUGCAAAGUAGAAGGGCAUCAUGUUAGAUCUUGCCCAUUGAAGAAGAAGGCCAUUAGUGACAAGCAACAAGGGAAGCGGCCACAAGUUCGAUCUCAUGCUCAACCACAAUUUGAAGAAAGUCCUCUUCCCAAGAAUCCUCAAGCUAAUGCUUCUCAAGUUGAGGAAUCAAGUGAGAAGAAAGUGAAGAGUAGACGUUGCUACUUAUGUCGUGAGAAAGGUCACCUCGCCUCUUCAUGCACUAGUGGUAACUUAUCCAACCCAAUUAUUAUUGAUGAUAUCUAUUCUCUUGGGAAGGAUAAUGUUGGCCAUGUGUUUGCCAAAUUUGUUGGUGCUCAAAGUGGUGUCGAGAAAAGAACCAUUUGGGUAGACAAGCCUAUUGUGACUAACCUCUUAGGACCCAACUUGGUUGGGGACCAACUAGCUCAAACUUGA
This 492-nucleotide ribosomal RNA is filed under the name Triticum aestivum (bread wheat). RNAcentral describes it as "partial small subunit ribosomal RNA". Lineage: Eukaryota; Viridiplantae; Streptophyta; Magnoliopsida; Poales; Poaceae. The record is from RNAcentral.